Molecule: ribosomal RNA, 468 nt
Filed under: uncultured bacterium
Lineage: Bacteria
Description: partial 16S ribosomal RNA
Rfam family: Bacterial small subunit ribosomal RNA
Source: RNAcentral
GACGAACGCUGGCGGCGUGCUUAAUACAUGCAAGUCGAACGGAAAGGCCCUGUAUUUGUGGGGUGCUCGAGUGGCGAACGGGUGAGUAUCACGUGAGUAACCUGCCCUUGUCUUUGGGAUAACUUCAGGAAACUGGGGCGAAUACCGGAUAGGAGCUCUUUCAGCACGGUGGGUGUGGGAAAGAUUCGGUGUUUGGGGAUGGACUCGCGGCUCAGCAGCUUGUUGGUGAGGUAGUGGCUUACCAAGGCUUUGACGGGUAGCCGGACUGGGAGGGUGACCGGCCACAUUGGGACUGGGAUACGGCCCAGACGCCAACGGGAGGCAGCAGUGGGAAAUAUUGCACGAUGGGCGGAAGCAGGAUGGAGCGACUCCGCGUGCGGAAUGACGGUUUUCGGGUAGUAAACCGGUUGCGCCUGUAACGAAGCGUGAGUGACGGUAAUGAGUAAAGAAGCAACGGCUAACUACGUG